This 483-nucleotide ribosomal RNA is filed under the name uncultured bacterium. Its description in RNAcentral is "partial 16S ribosomal RNA". It matches the Rfam family "Bacterial small subunit ribosomal RNA", at positions 30 to 507 of the family's 1533-position model. The record is from RNAcentral.
UUGCACGCUGGCGGCAGGCCUCACACCUGCAAGUCGCGCGGAUGAAGGGAGCUUGCUCCUGGAUUCAGCGGCGGACGGGUGAGUAAUGCCUAGGAAUCUGCCUGGUAGUGGGGGAUAACGUCCGGAAACGGGCGCUAAUACCGCAUACGUCCUGAGGGAGAAAGUGGGGGAUCUUCGGACCUCACGCUAUCAGAUGAGCCUAGGUCGGAUUAGCUAGUUGGUGGGGUAAAGGCCUACCAAGGCGACGAUCCGUAACUGGUCUGAGAGGAUGAUCAGUCACACUGGAACUGAGACACGGUCCAGACUCCUACGGGAGGCAGCAGUGGGGAAUAUUGGACAAUGGGCGAAAGCCUGAUCCAGCCAUGCCGCGUGUGUGAAGAAGGUCUUCGGAUUGUAAAGCACUUUAAGUUGGGAGGAAGGGCAGUAAGUUAAUACCUUGCUGUUUUGACGUUACCAACAGAAUAAGCACCGGCUAACUUCGUG